This 1036-nucleotide ribosomal RNA is filed under the name Nitzschia palea. Its description in RNAcentral is "eukaryotic LSU rRNA". The stretch from base 464 to 1036 matches the Rfam family "Eukaryotic large subunit ribosomal RNA", at positions 1 to 590 of the family's 3401-position model. Lineage: Eukaryota; Bacillariophyta; Bacillariophyceae; Bacillariales; Bacillariaceae. The record is from RNAcentral.
UGAUCGGCAGCUGUGUUCAACUCGCACCAUGGUGGUUGGCGGCAUAGAACAGAUGAACUCGAUGACUGUACUAUAUAGGUGACCAUGCGACGCUGCGGGACCUCCACGUGAUGUCAAGGAAUGUCUGGGGCCUGCGCUAUGAGGUCAUAUAAUAAAUGGUGGUCGGGAUUGAGGUUGUAGUUUGGUCAGCAUCUGCAACGGCAACUGCUUGUGCAUGUCCAUCCGCAACUAUGGCUAAGUGCAGAUCGAGAUCAGUACGUGUUCCCUUUUCACUGUUGGCUCCAGCAACACGGUGCGCUAUCAUGGGAGCCUGUGUGUAUCUCCGGUAGCAGUCCUGAGGUUGUGAGGAGUGGUGGCUGUUGGACCCCAUUACAGUAGAGUAGAGUUACCCUUUUCCCUCUGCCCACCUUGAGUGUGCGGCCGACACUGACGCUGAUGUUUGAACACAGCGCUUUUCACUUCCAGAUCUCAGCUUAAGCAAGAGGACCCGCCGAAUUUAAGCAUAUAAUUAAGCGGAGGAAAAGAAACUAACCAGGAUUCCCUCAGUAAGGGCGACUGAAGCGGGAAGAGCUCAGGAUGUGAAUCUGCGCCUCGUUGCGCCGAAUUGUGGUCUGUCGACGGUGGCAUUACUGGCCGGGCCAAGUCCUUUGGAACAAGGCAGCUGAGAGGGUGAGACUCCCGUCCGCCUGGCUGGGUGAGCCACUAGUCUACGAGUCGAGUUGUUUGGGAUUGCAGCUCCAAGUGGGUGGUAAAUUCCAUCUAAAGCUAAAUAUUGGUGGGAGACCGAUAGCGUACAAGUACCGUGAGGGAAAGAUGCAAAGAACUUUGAAAAGAGAGUUAAAGAGUACCUGAAAUUGCUGAAAGGGAAGCGAAGGAAACCAGUGUCGGCUCAGUCAUAUUUCCCUGUCCGCUUGCGGUUUGGGCGCUGUGUCUGGCCUGUGUCGUCCUUGGUUGGGUCUGCUGGAAGAGCGCAGUGAGAGUUGAUCUCUGUUGCUAGCAGCGGGUCUGACUGAGGAGGACGAAACGAAAAUGAAAA